UCCCGCUCGGCUCUUCCAGCUCAGCCGCUUCCUCCCAUUCGCCCAUCUCAGCGGGAAGGAAAGGGCGGCACCCAGAGGCGGCUGAGCGGGAAGAGCUGAGCGGGU
This is a non-coding RNA of Podarcis lilfordi (Lilford's wall lizard), 105 nucleotides long. Lineage: Eukaryota; Metazoa; Chordata; Lepidosauria; Squamata; Lacertidae. The record is from the annotation of a GenBank genome assembly.